ACGCUGGCGGCGUGCCUAAUACAUGCAAGUAGAACGCUGAAGAGAGGAGCUUGCUCUUCUUGGAUGAGUUGCGAACGGGUGAGUAACGCGUAGGUAACCUGCCUUGUAGCGGGGGAUAACUAUUGGAAACGAUAGCUAAUACCGCAUAACAAUGGGUGACACAUGUCAUUUAUUUGAAAGGGGCAAUUGCUCCACUACAAGAUGGACCUGCGUUGUAUUAGCUAGUAGGUGAGGUAACGGCUCACCUAGGCGACGAUACAUAGCCGACCUGAGAGGGUGAUCGGCCACACUGGGACUGAGACACGGCCCAGACUCCUACGGGAGGCAGCAGUAGGGAAUCUUCGGCAAUGGGGGCAACCCUGACCGAGCAACGCCGCGUGAGUGAAGAAGGUUUUCGGAUCGUAAAGCUCUGUCGUAAGGCAAGAACGAGUGUGAGAGUGGAAAGUUCACACUGUGACGGUAGCUUACCAGAAAGGGACGGCUAACUACGUGCCAGCAGCCGCGGUAAUACGUAGGUCCCGAGCGUUGUCCGGAUUUAUUGGGCGUAAAGCGAGCGCAGGCGGUUUGAUAAGUCUGAAGUUAAAGGCUGUGGCUCAACCAUAGUUCGCUUUGGAAACUGUCAAACUUGAGUGCAGAAGGGGAGAGUGGAAUUCCAUGUGUAGCGGUGAAAUGCGUAGAUAUAUGGAGGAACACCGGUGGCGAAAGCGGCUCUCUGGUCUGUAACUGACGCUGAGGCUCGAAAGCGUGGGGAGCGAACAGGAUUAGAUACCCUGGUAGUCCACGCCGUAAACGAUGAGUGCUAGGUGUUGGAUCCUUUCCGGGAUUCAGUGCCGCAGCUAACGCAUUAAGCACUCCGCCUGGGGAGUACGACCGCAAGGUUGAAACUCAAAGGAAUUGACGGGGGCCCGC
Molecule: ribosomal RNA, 909 nt
Filed under: uncultured bacterium
Lineage: Bacteria
Description: bacterial SSU rRNA
Rfam family: Bacterial small subunit ribosomal RNA
Source: RNAcentral